UGGGGGAUAUUGCACAAUGGGCGAAAGCCUGAUGCAGCGACGCCGCGUGGGGGAUGAAGGCCUUCGGGUUGUAAACUUCUUUUGCUCUGAACAAGGCGCACCAUGGGGUGUGUUGAGUGUAGGGGUUGAUUAGCGCCGGCUAACUACGUGCCAGCAGCCGCGGUAAUACGUAGGGCGCGAGCGUUGUCCGGAAUUAUUGGGCGUAAAGGGCUUGUAGGUGGCUGGUUGCGUCUGUCGUGAAAGCUCAUGGCUUAACUGUGGGUUUGCGGUGGGUCCGGGCUGGCUUGAGUGCAGUAGGGGAGGCUGGAAUUCCUGGUGUAGCGGUGGAAUGCGCAGAUAUCAGGAGGAAUACCGGUGGCGAAGGCGGGUCUCUGGGCUGUUACUGACACUGAGGAGCGAAAGCAUGGGGAGCGAACAGG
RNAcentral lists this ribosomal RNA (419 nucleotides) under bacterium. Its description in RNAcentral is "partial 16S ribosomal RNA". It matches the Rfam family "Bacterial small subunit ribosomal RNA", at positions 355 to 776 of the family's 1533-position model. The record is from RNAcentral.